This 126-nucleotide ribosomal RNA is filed under the name Lepisosteus oculatus (spotted gar). Lineage: Eukaryota; Metazoa; Chordata; Actinopteri; Semionotiformes; Lepisosteidae. The record is from RNAcentral.
AUCAGCACCCAUAUCACCCUGCAACUCACAACUGGUAACCCAAUGAAGCUAAGCAGGUGUGAGCCUGGUUAGUACCUGGAUGGGAGAUGGGAGACCUCUUGGGAAAAACUAAGGUUGCUGCUGGAA